RNAcentral lists this ribosomal RNA (192 nucleotides) under uncultured bacterium. Its description in RNAcentral is "partial 16S ribosomal RNA". It matches the Rfam family "Bacterial small subunit ribosomal RNA", at positions 584 to 775 of the family's 1533-position model. The record is from RNAcentral.
UAAGUCAGCGGUAAAAAUUCGGGGCUCAACCCCGGUACUGCAUUUGAAACUGUCCAGCUGGAGUGCAGGAGAGGUAAGCGGAAUUCCUAGUGUAGCGGUGAAAUGCGUAGAUAUUAGGAGGAACACCAGUGGCGAAGGCGGCUUACUGGACUGUAACUGACACUGAGGCACGAAAGCGUGGGGAGCAAACAG